UACGUAGGGGGCAAGCGUUAUCCGGAUUUACUGGGUGUAAAGGGAGCGUAGACGGCGAUGCAAGCCAGAUGUGAAAGCCCGGGGCUCAACCCCGGGACUGCAUUUGGAACUGCAUGGCUGGAGUACAGGAGGGGCAGGCGGAAUUCCUAGUGUAGCGGUGAAAUGCGUAGAUAUUAGGAGGAACACCGGUGGCGAAGGCGGCCUGCUGGACUGUGACUGACGUUGAGGCCCGAAGGCGUGGGGAGCAAACAGG
This 253-nucleotide ribosomal RNA is filed under the name uncultured bacterium. Its description in RNAcentral is "partial 16S ribosomal RNA". It matches the Rfam family "Bacterial small subunit ribosomal RNA", at positions 524 to 776 of the family's 1533-position model. The record is from RNAcentral.